This 433-nucleotide ribosomal RNA is filed under the name uncultured bacterium. Its description in RNAcentral is "partial 16S ribosomal RNA". It matches the Rfam family "Bacterial small subunit ribosomal RNA", at positions 29 to 507 of the family's 1533-position model. The record is from RNAcentral.
AACGAACGCUGGCGGCAUGCCUAACACAUGCAAGUCGUACGAGACCUUCGGGUCUAGUGGCGCACGGGUGCGUAACGCGUGGGAACCUGCCCUUAGGUUCGGCAUAACUCCCCGAAAGGGGUGCUAAUACCGGAUCAUGUCUUCGGACCAAAGAUUUAUCACCUUUGGAUGGGCCCGCGUUGGAUUAGCUAGUUGGUAGGGUAAAAGCCUACCAAGGCGACGAUCCAUAGCUGGUCUGAGAGGAUGAUCAGCCACACUGGGACUGAGACACGGCCCAGACUCCUACGGGAGGCAGCAGUGGGGAAUAUUGGACAAUGGGCGAAAGCCUGAUCCAGCAAUGCCGCGUGAGUGAUGAAGGCCUUAGGGUUGUAAAGCUCUUUUACCCGGGAUGAUAAUGACAGUACCGGGAGAAUAAGCUCCGGCUAACUCCGUG